Molecule: ribosomal RNA, 375 nt
Filed under: uncultured bacterium
Lineage: Bacteria
Description: bacterial SSU rRNA
Rfam family: Bacterial small subunit ribosomal RNA
Source: RNAcentral
UAAUACGAGAGGUCCAAACGUUAUUCGGAAUCACUGGGCUUACAGAGUUCGUAGGCGGUCCAGAAAGUGGGGUGUGAAAGCCCUCGGCUCAACCGAGGAACUGCGCUCCAAACUACUGGGCUAGAGGAAGAUAGAGGUGAGCAGAACUGAUGGUGGAGCGGUGAAAUGCGUUGAUAUCAUCAGGAAUACCGGAGGCGAAGGCGGCUCACUGGGUCUUUUCUGACGCUGAGGAACGAAAGCUAGGGGAGCAAACGGGAUUAGAUACCCCGGUAGUCCUAGCCGUAAACGAUGAGCACUGGGCCGGAGCUCUGCACAGGGUUUCGGCCGUAGCGAAAGUGUUAAGUGCUCCGCCUGGGGAGUAUGGUCGCAAGGCUG